CCUACGGGAGGCAGCAGUAGGGAAUAUUGCUCAAUGGGGGAAACCCUGAAGCAGCAACGCCGCGUGGAGGAUGAAGGUUUUCGGAUUGUAAACUCCUUUUGUUAGAGAAGAGAAGGACGGUAGCGAACGAAUAAGCACCGGCUAACGCCGUGCCAGCAGCCGCGGUAAUACGGAGGGUGCAAGCGUUACUCGGAAUCACUGGGCGGAAAGAGCGCGUAGGCGGGCUUGCAAGUCAGAUGUGAAAUCCUAUGGCUUACCCAUAGAACUGCAUUUGAAACUGUUAUUCUAGAGUAUGGGAGAGGUAGGUGGCCUUCUUGGUGUCGGGGUCACAUCCGUAGAG
This 340-nucleotide ribosomal RNA is filed under the name uncultured bacterium. Its description in RNAcentral is "partial 16S ribosomal RNA". It matches the Rfam family "Bacterial small subunit ribosomal RNA", at positions 338 to 695 of the family's 1533-position model. The record is from RNAcentral.